RNAcentral lists this ribosomal RNA (408 nucleotides) under uncultured bacterium. RNAcentral describes it as "partial 16S ribosomal RNA". It matches the Rfam family "Bacterial small subunit ribosomal RNA", at positions 28 to 526 of the family's 1533-position model. The record is from RNAcentral.
GACGAACGCUGGCGGCGUGCUUAACACAUGCAAGUCGAACGAAGUGGCGAACGGGUGAGUAAUAAGUGCGUAACCUGCCCUCCUUUUUGGGAUAAGCCUUGGAAACGGGGUCUAAUACCGAAUAGAGGGGGAUGGGCUCGCGGCCUAUCAGCUUGUUGGUGGGGUGAUGGCCUACCAAGGCGGUGACGGUUAGCCGGCCUGAGAUGGUGACCGGCCACAUUGGGCCUGAGAUACGGCCCAGACGCGUACGGGAGGCAGCAGUGGGGGAUAUUGCACAAGGGGCGAAAGCCUGAGGCAGCGACGCCGCGUGUGGGAUGAAGGCUUUCGGGGUGUAAACCUCUUUCGCUAUCUAACGUGUAGGUGGAGAAGAAGCGCCGGCUAACUACGUGCCAGCAGCCGCGGUAAUAC